GUGAGACCGGACGAACAACAAAGAACAACUCAGACCAGCUCGGAAAGCAAAGGACUUUUCGCCAACACACACAGAUGACUCAGUCGCAUAUUUGCCACGCCCCUGUUGCCAUGACAACCUCACCGGAGUCUGGGCGGGACUUUGGGCGCAGAACCAGCCUCCCCAGGAGGCCCCCAGCCCGCGUUUGCGCGUGCGCUCGCGAGCUGUCGUUACGUAGAGGCGGAAGCAGAACGCACGCCGGGCGCCUCAGCUCGCGUCUGGAUCCGUUGGAGCUUUAGAGUCCGAGGACUUCAAGAGGCACAAGAAGCUGGGCUGGGAAAGGAAUCUGAGAUCCAGAAAGGCAAGCGACACACCCCAGGGGCUGAACUGGAGCUUGGCAGAACAUGGAGGGAGAGGGGUCCUCCCUGGGUGACCCCAUGGAAAGCCCUAGCGGGGGUGAGGAUGGUGCCCAAUCUAUUAUGUCCACCAGGCCCCGAACACCGUCCAGGCUAUAAACAUGGUAGAGCACAGUGUUGGAUUUAGGGGUCGAGAGGUCCACGACUUUCAACACCGUACUUUGCGGGCAAGUUCUUCAGCCCACAUGGCAUCCCCUCUGUGGUCAAGUCGGCUCCCCAACUUCCUGUGUAUAUGAUAUCAGUCCCUCACGUAUCCAGUUUAUCUGAAAAUAUUAAAUGGAAAGUGCCAGGAAUAAUUCGUAAGUUUCAACUAAUUUUGAUUUGGUAUAUUAUUAUAAUUGUUGUAUUUUAUUAGAUGUUGUGAAUCUUACUGUGGCAAAUUCAUCAAGUAAAUGUCAUCUUUUUUUUUUUUUUUUUUUU
This 815-nucleotide long non-coding RNA is filed under the name Heterocephalus glaber (naked mole-rat). Its description in RNAcentral is "lncRNA (ENSHGLG00100049148.1)". The record is from RNAcentral. Lineage: Eukaryota; Metazoa; Chordata; Mammalia; Rodentia; Bathyergidae.